CAGGGCUCAAACGAGUGAUUGAGCACCUGGUGGGAAGGCAGGGCCAACCCAGGGGAGCUCAGGUGCAUGUAAUGUAGCUAAAUGACUGGGAGUGGUGGACCCGGGAUAUACCCCUUCCCAGCCCUCAUUUAAGGGUUGGCAGUGGAAGGAUGGGUAUCUCUUGUUGGAGGUCCCUGUGAAUCUAUAGUCUUCUGAAGGUGUAAAAGAGAUGUUGAAAUACUGUCUGCAAUGAAGAGAAAUUACCUGGACACCUUUCAGCAGAAAUUGCUGUGUGCAAGCUGAUGUCUUUUUCCUUCUACAAAGGAUUUUAACAACCUUGUUGCAUAGGACUUAAAGAAAUCAAAUGUGUGGCACGAUACCGCAGCUCUUCAAAGCAUUAUGUGCACAGUACAGAUACAGAUGUCCCGAGUGUUUCACCUCAUUCACCCAACUGCACUUGAAGAUGUCCUUGGAAUGAGGAACACUUCAAAGAUUCAAGUCCAAGUUUCAAGUUCAUUGUGGUUGUUGAAGAGCACCAGUGUUUAAGCACUUUACUCCAGGCCUCUCUUUGGUUCUGAAAGCAUCAGAUAACAGCUGCAAGCUUUAAAAAGCAGCUGGAUAUAAGUGAUGUACCCUAUAAUCUGUUCAAAGCCUUUUGUACUGUAACACUUCUGUCUUUGAAACCAAUAAUCUCUUUUUUUUUUUGUUUCAAACUUUUUGAUGGAUUAUGUUUCUUGGAAUUGCCCAGACUCUCCAAACUGAGGUUUGUUUUGAGGAACUGUAGGGGCUGGGUUUUAAUUUGUCCCAGUUUUCUCCUCUUGCUGUAUUAUGCAAGCUUCUCAUUUUGUGUUUAUACCAUUAAGAUAUUGCUUAGGAAUACUAUUACUUGAAUAGUUCUGGAGAUCAAAUUGCCCAUGGAAAUACCACAUGCGAUAAUGCUGUUAUACUCUGAUUAUAUUAUAUGCUAUUGUGUAUUGUAAUUAGACAUAUUUUAAAAUAGUAUCCCCUAAGGCCAAUGAAAUCAUGUAAUUCACAACUACUAGGUUAUCCUAAGCAGUCUGAAGGUUCUGGAUGAGUAGACCAGCUCCUGGAAGUCAGUUUUGUGGGAGACCUAUUGGACAACCCUGUGGCGAAAGCUGCUGGCAGCUACUACUGUCUGGGAAAUUGGUUAUAUAAUGUGUGAUGGAGUUUAAAGGGCCCAAGGGUAGCAUUUUCCUAAUGAUAGGGAAUAAAACUGCCCAUAGGAAUACUGAGGAGCUGGAGGUAGGAAGCGGUUCCAGUGUUGAGAAUGUUUUGUCGUAGUUCUGACUGUAAGUCUUCUCUCAGGAAGAGAGGUGGAGUGGUUGGAUAUGUUUGUAGCUGCAUGCUGUUAUCUAAAACUACUUGUAUUUUUUAUGUAGACAAUACUUUGGAGCAAUUUCUAUGAAGUUAUGUGUUAAGCAUUGUUAUUAAUUGUAAGCAGUUGUUUGUAAUGCUUUGAACUAAGUAAAAUCACCUUCAGGUGAUUUUUCUUUUUUUCCCCACUAGUAUUGCUUCUACACAUCCAUAAUGGUACUAUGCUGAUACAACCUAUCUGAAUGAAGUGAAAUAAUGCUUCCUUUGCAGUGUUCAGAGUGCAGGCCUUAAUCAUCCUUAAUUUCUAAGUCUAAUCCUCAAGUUAGAACAAGUAUUUUUUUAAUCUUCUUGUGCAACAGAUAAGCUUCUUGUAGAACCACUAUUGCUGAAUGAGAAAUACCACCCUGGAUGUUUUGCAGCCCUCUCAGGGUGACUGAGGAAACUGUUAAAGACAUGGAAGUGGAUUGCUACUUGUGGCAUACUAGCAUGUAACACCGAUCUGUAACAGUAACUCCAUCACUAAAAAUCUUGGCAGGAAUGGUUGUGGUAACUGAAGUGUAAUGUAAAUGUAUCAAAAUGAUAGGAAUUAAUUUUGAAUUACACUUUCAUUUAGUUUUGUUCUAAUAACUUAAUUUUACUAGUAAAGAGUUUAAAACUAAGAACUUCAAGGCACGUUUUCACAAGUUUGUUCUUGAAACUUGGGGAAAUAAUCUCCGUGCUCCUGAUCUGUGUAGGAGUUCUUGCAUGAGGAGUAGUGGAUUGAGUUCCCUCAGGUUUAAUGCCAGAGUUAACUGAAAGCCCAGAGACAAAAGCUUUGUCGUUGUUUCUGAGGCUGCACUUCUGAUUCAUUCUGUUCGCUAAUUCACUGUGUCUUGAGAAUGCUGAUCCCAGAUCAGAAUAUGAGCUUGAAAAUGCUGUAACAUUAAAAUCACAGUUGAGAUAGUGGGUAUAUUUCUGCUCCAUCUAUAGUGUUCAAGACUAAUAGGCUUGUUUUUUUUUCCAACCCACUAUAGUAAGAUAAUUCAGCAGAAACUUCUAAUUA
This 2356-nucleotide long non-coding RNA is filed under the name Gallus gallus (chicken). RNAcentral's name for it is "lncRNA (ENSGALG00010023561.1)". Lineage: Eukaryota; Metazoa; Chordata; Aves; Galliformes; Phasianidae. The record is from RNAcentral.